This is a non-coding RNA of Carassius auratus (goldfish), 903 nucleotides long. Lineage: Eukaryota; Metazoa; Chordata; Actinopteri; Cypriniformes; Cyprinidae. The record is from the annotation of a RefSeq genome assembly.
UCAGUUUAUACAUUCAUCUGAUCACUAGAGGGAGUGAAGAAUCACUUCUGCUCAUUCAAACUGUGCUGUGAAACAAACCAUGAUCUCUUCAUCUUUAGUGUUGCUUCUGGCAGUGGUAUCCUGUAUUGAUUCAUAUGAAUUCACUCAGCCUGAGUCUCUGACUGUCCGUCCUGAUGCCACUCUGACUAUCAACUGUAAAGUCUCCUAUUCAGUUACAAGCUAUGUUACAGCCUGGGUUCGUCAGCCUGCAGGAAAAGCUCUGGAGUGGAUUGGAGUGAUCUGGACUGAUGGAAGCUUAGCCUACAAGGAUUCCCUGAAGAACAGGUUCAGCAUCACCAGAGACACUUCCAUUGACACAGUAACACUGCAAGGAAAGAACAUGCAAGCUGAAGACACAGCUGUGUAUUAUUGUGCCAAACGUGCACAGUGACAGAUGGCAACAGCUUCCCUGUACAAAAACAUCAUCAUAUUAACAUUACCGUAUUUAUCAUGUUUUGUCCUUUUAGGUUUUCACAACUGAUAUUCACUGAUGCUCAUCAUUCACAGCUUAAAUUCAUUUGAUGAUAUUUAUGAGAAAAACCUAAUAUGCCUUUAAUCAGUUGAAAAAACAACAAUUACCUAAUACAAAACUUAAUAAUUAGCUAAAAUAAGCACUAUAAAUGUAAAUUAUGUUUAAAAUAGAAUGUCAAUAAAAUCCAAUAUAGUUUGCAUGACUCCCAUGAGGUUAGAAAGUCUGUUGGUCAGUAAAGGUGUGACCGAGCUUGUUUUGACCCUGUUUUGCUGUUGUCUCAGAGGUGGGAUAGAUGUUUUCAGCAAUGUCUGAGCAGCAUUGAGGGUUUCAACCGAUCUGUGUCAGUCAAUGAACUGAAGUGCUUAUUCUGUCUGUGAUGUGAGUCCAGGAGG